RNAcentral lists this ribosomal RNA (451 nucleotides) under uncultured bacterium. RNAcentral describes it as "partial 16S ribosomal RNA". It matches the Rfam family "Bacterial small subunit ribosomal RNA", at positions 28 to 507 of the family's 1533-position model. The record is from RNAcentral.
GAUGAACGCUGGCGGCGUGCCUAACACAUGCAAGUCGAGCGGCAGCGCGGGGUUCUUGCACCCUGUCGGCGAGCGGCGGACGGCUGAGUAACGCGUGUGAACUUCCCCCAACGUUAGGAAUAACUGCCCGAAAUGGUAGCUAAUACCGCAUAGUAUCUUCGCAUCAAAGUGUUUAUUCGCUUUGGGAGCGGCUCGCGGCUGGUUUGGUGGUUGGUGAGGUAAUUGCUAGCCAAGCCGAGGAUCCGUAGCUGGUCGGAGAGGAUGACUAGCCAGACUGGAACUAAGACACGGUCCAGAAUCCUACGGGAGGCAGCAGUGAGGAAUAUUACAGAAUGGGGGAAAGCCUGAUGGAGCAACGCGGGGUGCAGGACGAAGGCGUUCGGGUUGUAAACUGCUUUUAUAAGUGAGGAAUAUGACGGUAACUUAUGAAUAAGGAUCGGCUAACUACGUG